Molecule: ribosomal RNA, 292 nt
Filed under: uncultured bacterium
Lineage: Bacteria
Description: partial 16S ribosomal RNA
Rfam family: Bacterial small subunit ribosomal RNA
Source: RNAcentral
GUGUCAGCCGCCGCGGUAAUACGUAGGGUGCAAGCGUUGUCCGGAAUUAUUGGGCGUAAAGAGCUCGUAGGCGGUUUGUCGCGUCGGCUGUGAAAACUCGGGGCUCAACCCCGAGCCUGCAGUCGAUACGGGCAGACUAGAGUGCUGUAGGGGAGACUGGAAUUCCUGGUGUAGCGGUGAAAUGCGCAGAUAUCAGGAGGAACACCGGUGGCGAAGGCGGGUCUCUGGGCAGUAACUGACGCUGAGGAGCGAAAGCGUGGGGAGCAAACAGGAUUAGAUACCCUCGUAGUCC